AGAGAGGAUGAGGUUAGCUCACAGAGCUCUUCUGACCUCAGAAACAGAACAAGGGUUUCCGGCACCAGAGAAAAGAGUUCAGCAAAAGACCAGCAGAGCAACCUCCAGAGAGAAAAGACGUCGGGGUGAAUUGCACAGCUGAGAGAAGAAGUUACAGAGAAAAGGAGGCACAGAACAGAUUUCAGACGUACUGUAGUCACAUUUAGGGACAGAACGGAGUGUGAAAGGUGCAGGAAUUGUUUUUCGUUGAACCUAACCGAUGGCGUCAAACAAACCACCAGCACUUCCUGUCAAACAACACAGACAUUCCAGUGUAGAUUCUGAUGACCGUGUAUUCAGCCCAGUUGCAGUCCAGCAUCAAAACUAUUCAUAUGUUGAUGUCUUCUCUGAGCCUGUUGACUGCCAUGCAGCCCAGUGUCCCUUACACCAGCCCUGUGAUCCUUCCCCUCACCACUCAAGGUUUUUCUCUGAUGGCGCCCCUCCACCUGUUCCAAAGAAGAGGUUGGCUCGCACCCUGUCCCGCCCUGCCACAGAUGUGUCUAUGCUCUCCUCUGUGUCCCCCCCACAACAAACACAACUUCAUCACUUUGAAGACACACACGAUGAUGGGAGUCCUUUUCCUUCCCCGUCCAUCUCCCAGCUGACGUUUGACUCGACAGAUGAACAUCUGUCCUCCAUCCUCAAUAGCUUUGUGGACCAGGAGGUUGUUUCUAAUGCUCUCCAGCAUAGUCAGCUCCUCUUUAUUAGAAGAAUGACAGAAAAAGUGCAUGCUGGGAUCCUGCUGCAGAGUGAUACCAGUCUGUGUCAGCCUGAGGAUUUCCUGUUGUGCGAAGACAGCAGAGCAAAAACCAUCGGAAACCAGAUUUACUACACUGUGCUCAACCCCAAGUUCCCAGGAAGGGAGUUUGGUUUAAAGGUACACAAACACACUGAUGACUCUUUCUCAGCCCACCCAAAACUCCAACCAUCACAUGUCAAUGUUCAAGAUGUUAUCGCCUACUUUACUCCCAGUUGCUUGUUAAAGUAUGACACCAACACAAACAGAAGUCCAGCAUGUUCGCCUUCAAUGUCAACCUGCAGUACUACCCAACCAUCAGACGGAGGCAGUCCCCUCACAGUCCAACACCUUCUGCAGAAAGGUCACAGUGUCAGCAUUGAACGUGACCUUGCUCAUGCCACUCUGCGGGACUUUGUUGAGGAAAGGCAUUCACUGCAUGGCGCUGACCGUUUGCGUUAUGAGAGGCAGGUGUGUGUUGUGCUGCUGCAGGUGUUGAUGGGUGCUCAGCGUCUGUACAGCAGUGGGAGUGCAGCUCAGCUCAGACCACAGGAGGUCCUCCUGCUGUGGACCUAUAGGGGGAGAGAGGCUGAGGAAGCUUUCAACAGAAUCCAUCUGCACAAGUCAUGGGGGUUGCAAGGUUGUCCUCGUGUGGUGUUAGUGCUGCAGUCUGCUCUUGUUUCAGGACAAAAAGCACUGGCCACCAUUAAAUGUGAGAUCGAAGCAUUGAUUCAGUUCUGCCUGCAGCCACAGGAGAACUCUGAGGUUGUGGAUUCACCUUUUCAAUUCUACAAAAAAGGACUUCUCCACCUGUCCUCUCUGCUUCUGAAUGAGAGUGGACCAAAGAUGGCCGACAUGGUAACAAUGGUUCAGGUGCUUCUCUGGGGCCCACACACACCUGCAUUCAGCCAGACACACUCGACCUGUGCUGCGGCUCAUCACUGGCUGACUGAGAAGCGAGCGCUGCUGGUUAUGAUGCUGGCAGAGAGGGGACUGCUCCAGGACCAGGGAGGGUCCCCUCUGGAUUGGGAGGAUUGCUUGUAUCUGCAGUAUCUGUCCAGCGCAGACUCAGAAACAGUUGUGAAUGUGAGCAGUCAGCUUCAGCAUGUGCUGAACACUGAAUAA
Molecule: long non-coding RNA, 1900 nt
Organism: Gouania willdenowi (blunt-snouted clingfish)
Lineage: Eukaryota; Metazoa; Chordata; Actinopteri; Blenniiformes; Gobiesocidae
Product: inactive tyrosine-protein kinase PEAK1-like
Source: Ensembl